GUGAAUUCUCUUUAAAAGGUGAAGCAGAUGUUUCCUUUCCUCUGGCGUCCAGCUGCUAACAUCCCCAACAUGUCACAGUGCAACAGUUAUCUUCAGCUGAUGACACUGGAGCACGACUCAGAAUCCAGGAGGAGAUGUUUCUGACAGAGUCUGAGGGGAAAGUGUUCAGGAAAAACAUCUCAGAGCUGCAAGAAUCAGACUAGAAUCACAGGAGAAUCACAGCAGAAUCAGACUAGAAUCACAGGAGAAUCACAGGAGAAUCAGACUGGAAUCAGAGGAGAAUCAGACUAGAAUCAGAGGAGAAUCAGACUAGAAUCAGCGGAGAAUCAGACUAGAAUCAGAGGAGAAUCAGAGGCGAAUCAGACUAGAAUCUGAGGAGAAUCAGACUAGAAUCAGACUAGAAUCAGCAGAGAAUCAGACUGGAAUCAGAGGAGAAUCAGACUAGAAUCAGAGGCGAAUCAGACUAGAAUCAGCAGAGAAUCAGACUAGAAUCAGAGGAGAAUCACAGGAGAAUCAGACUAGAAUCACAAGAGAAUCAGACUAGAAUCGGGAGAAUCAGAGGAGAAUCAGACUAGACUCAGAGAAGAAUCAGAGGAGAAUCAGAGGAGAAUCAGACUAGAAUCAGAGAAGAAUCAUAGGAGAAUCAGAGGAGAAUCACACUUGAAUCAGAGGAGAGUCAGAGGAGAAUCAGAGAAGAAUCAGACUAAAAUCAGAGAAGAAUCAGAGGAGAAACAGACUAGAAUCAGGAGAAUCAGACUAGAAUCAGUGGAGAGUCAGAGGAGAAUCAGAGAAGAAUCAGACUAGAAACAGAGAAGAAUCAGAGGAGAAUCAGACUAGAAUCAGGGGAGAAUCAGAGGAGAAUCAGACGAGAAUCAGAGAAGAAUCAGAGGAGAAUCAGAGGAGAAUCAGACGAGAAUCAGAGAAGAAUCAGAGGAGAAUCAGAGGAGAAUCAGACUUGAAUCAGAGGAGAGUCAGAGGAGAAUCAGAGAAGAAUCAGACUAAAAUCAGAGAAGAAUCAGAGGGGAAUCAGACUAGAAUCAGAGAAGGAUCAGAGGAGAAUCUGACUAGAAUCAGAGGAGAAUCAGACUAGAAUCAGAGGAGAGUCAGAGGAGAAUCAGAGAAGAAUCAGACUAGAAUCAGAGGAGAAUCAGACUAGAAUCAGAGAAGAAUCAGAGGAGAAUCUGACUAGGAUCAGAGGAGAAUCAGACUAGAAUCACAAGAGAAUCAGACUAGAAUCGGGAGAAUCAGAGGAGAAUCAGACUAGAAUCAGAGAAGAAUCAGAGGAG
Long non-coding RNA from Amphiprion ocellaris (clown anemonefish), 1286 nucleotides. Lineage: Eukaryota; Metazoa; Chordata; Actinopteri; Pomacentridae. The record is from Ensembl.